Molecule: long non-coding RNA, 2533 nt
Filed under: Olea europaea (common olive)
Lineage: Eukaryota; Viridiplantae; Streptophyta; Magnoliopsida; Lamiales; Oleaceae
Description: long non-coding RNA (OEUR_LNC015475)
Source: RNAcentral
UUCAUACAAUAACAAUCCCUAUCUUUCUUCUUCUUAGACAAGUAGGCUGAGCCUCAAAUACUGCAAUCAACAACGCUAAAAAUGCCUAAGAUUCAACACCCCUCAAAGUAGUAUUGGAGCUGCCAUUUCGAACAUCCAGCUUAUAGCCAGCACCAUAGGUGGCAUCAACAACACCAGUCAGUGCCUGGCACGCCAUUGCCAUUCCCUUCUACUCUAUCCACUUUAUGGGGAUGGUGGUUUCCUUUCACUCCUCUAAAACCAGGAGGUCCACAUGCAGUUUGAACAUGCUUUAGAUUUGGAUCUUUCCGAGGUCGGCCAAGUCCCUACUUCACUGGUAGGACUGAAGGAGGCACCAACAUUGUCGCCUUGGAUAACUUGAUUCACUUUCAGAAAUUACCAUUUACAAUAUUGAAGCAAUUCUUUUGGUAGAAACUGGUUUUAGGCACGUGUAAGUAAUGUGCAAGGCACGUGUUGUAACUGUAGUGAAGCAUUCAAUAGUAUUGAUAUUGUGAGUGAUUUGUGUAUGAUAUUAAUAUUUGUAAAAUCUUACUAAAAGAAAAUUUGGGAAUUUAGUAGAAUGAAUUGUAUAGGCUUCAUAGCUAUAAAUACGGGAGGGUAGGUCCAUUUUUUCAGGCACAAAUUAGUGAGAAAAUGGGAGGGAGAGGCACCCUCUGGGAAACUGACCAAACAUAUACACAAAACCACAAAAAUACAGCAAUUGCAAUCUGAUUAUUAUCAGAUAAUUAAAGCCUUUACCUUUGAAGAGUGUAUAAGAGAUCACGUAGAGAUUAUUAUACACAACAAAGCUUGAUUAGAGUGAGAGUAAUUUUAAGAAGGUACAGGGAAAGAGUGAGAACUAAUGGCAAGAGUUUCCAGAGGAUAGAAGGGCAUUAAAGAUAUUUUCACAAUUAUGAAUAAAGUUAACGAUGCAAUUGCUACAUGUCAAACUUUGAGUGAUUAAGUGACGAGGGCGUAAACAAACUAAUGAUAUUUUCUCAAUUAUGAGCAAAGUUAAGGAUGCUACUGCUAUAUGACAAAAUAUCUGUGGUAAAGUGACCAGAAAGUUAACAGGAAUUAAACUAAGAAUAUGAUAUCACUUUUUUUCUCAAUUAUGGGCGAAGUUAAUGGCGCUCUAUCUUCUUCUUAGAUAAAUAGGCGAAGACUCAAAUGCUGAAAUCACCAAUGCUAAAAAAGCCUAAAUAUCAAUCAACAUGCAGCAAAAAAUUCUAACUAAAAAUGCCAAAAUUUUUCAUCAACAUUUGAUGAUCUCCCCAGAAACUGCACCAAGAAAUGGUAGUAUAUCUUAUUAACAGGAAAAAGGAAUACCUCACAAGAACAAAGCACUGAUUUUUUACAAUAUUGAAGAAAUUCUUUUAGUAGAAAAAAGCAAUAAAAUAAACAUGUGAAAAGGAUAAAAUUGCAUAUAAGAUGAAGCUGAAGAGAAAUUAAUAACCAAUUAAAAAUGAGAGGUGAGAAUUAUUUCAAGACUUUACCUUGCGAAGAGUAUACUAGAUUGGACAGAAAUAUUAUUUUGAUAAAGCUUAAGUAGAGGGAGAGAGUAAAUUUAAGAAACUUGGAAUAGAGGGCUACAGAGUGUAGAUAGAUAGAGAGAGAGAGAGAGAGAGAGAGAGAGAGAGAGAGAGAGAGAGUUUCUGGAGGUUAGAAAGGAAUUAAUGAUAAUUUCUCAAUUAUGGCUGAAGUUAACGAUGCUAUUACUACGUGUCAAAAUUUCAAUGAUAAAGCAACCAGGCAGUGAACAUGAAUUAAUGCCAUUUACUCAACUGUGGGCAAAGCAAACAAUGCUAUUGCUACAUGUCAAAAUUUUCUCAUGAUUAAGUCGCCAAAAAUGUUAGUACCAAAUCCUGGAGUGCCCAGCACAUUGAGAUGCACAUGCCUUUGCUAGACAUCUCCACCAAUUCCAUAACUCUUGAUGCUUCUUUCUUUUCAUUUUUUCGAACAUUUUCAAGUUACUGGUGUAAAUUGUUUUCCAACUGGGAAAAUGCGAAAAAUAGAUGACAUCCACAAUUACUCAAAGACCUUUUGCUUUCGAUUAAUAUGCAAAAAAAAAAAAAAAAAAAAAAAAAAAAACUUCAUAUUCCUAAAAAUGUAAAUUUAUCUGUGUUACUAAAUAUGACACCAAAAACAAAUGAGUUAUCCAGUAGGCCCUUUGAGUAACGUUUCAAGUGGAAAAGAGCCACCAAUUUAGGCCCUUCUACUGCCCAUAGAACACUUGAAUAGAAUCCAAACUGUAACACAAAGCAUAUUAUACAAAAUUCAAUCCCAUCAUGGGUACAGUCUUACAUUCAGGACCAUAAAAUUCACCGGGGUCAAACAAACUAACGUUCAACGCGAACAAAAUGGAGCUUUUAAUGAAACAAGCACGGAGAAUACAUAAACCGAUACACAGACACAAUGAUAUAUGCAUAUGCACACAGGCACACUGUCACGCACAGAUAAGGGAGCUCUUUCUUGUACCUGACCAUCCCAUAAAGAAUGUAUUGGCCUUCUUCUGUCAUUAUGAUCCAGUAAUUUC